ACCGGGGGAACUGAAACAUCUAAGUACCCCGAGGAAAAGAAAUCAACCGAGAUUCCCCCAGUAGCGGCGAGCGAACGGGGAGCAGCCCAGAGCCUGAAUCAGUGUGUGUGUUAGUGGAAGCGUCUGGAAAGGCGCGCGAUACAGGGUGACAGCCCCGUACACAAAAAUGCACAUGCUGUGAGCUCGAUGAGUAGGGCGGGACACGUGGUAUCCUGUCUGAAUAUGGGGGGACCAUCCUCCAAGGCUAAAUACUCCUGACUGACCGAUAGUGAACCAGUACCGUGAGGGAAAGGCGAAAAGAACCCCGGCGAGGGGAGUGAAAAAGAACCUGAAACCGUGUACGUACAAGCAGUGGGAGCACGCUUAGGCGUGUGACUGCGUACCUUUUGUAUAAUGGGUCAGCGACUUAUAUUCUGUAGCAAGGUUAACCGAAUAGGGGAGCCGAAGGGAAACCGAGUCUUAACUGGGCGUUAAGUUGCAGGGUAUAGACCCGAAACCCGGUGAUCUAGCCAUGGGCAGGUUGAAGGUUGGGUAACACUAACUGGAGGACCGAACCGACUAAUGUUGAAAAAUUAGCGGAUGACUUGUGGCUGGGGGUGAAAGGCCAAUCAAACCGGGAGAUAGCUGGUUCUCCCCGAAAGCUAUUUAGGUAGCGCCUCGUGAAUUCAUCUCCGGGGGUAGAGCACUGUUUCGGCAAGGGGGUCAUCCCGACUUACCAACCCGAUGCAAACUGCGAAUACCGGAGAAUGUUAUCACGGGAGACACACGGCGGGUGCUAACGUCCGUCGUGAAGAGGGAAACAACCCAGACCGCCAGCUAAGGUCCCAAAGUCAUGGUUAAGUGGGAAACGAUGUGGGAAGGCCCAGACAGCCAGGAUGUUGGCUUAGAAGCAGCCAUCAUUUAAAGAAAGCGUAAUAGCUCACUGGUCGAGUCGGCCUGCGCGGAAGAUGUAACGGGGCUAAACCAUG
This 968-nucleotide ribosomal RNA is filed under the name Escherichia coli. RNAcentral describes it as "partial 23S ribosomal RNA". It matches the Rfam family "Bacterial large subunit ribosomal RNA", at positions 183 to 1191 of the family's 2925-position model. The record is from RNAcentral. Lineage: Bacteria; Pseudomonadati; Pseudomonadota; Gammaproteobacteria; Enterobacterales; Enterobacteriaceae.